Molecule: ribosomal RNA, 468 nt
Filed under: uncultured bacterium
Lineage: Bacteria
Description: bacterial SSU rRNA
Rfam family: Bacterial small subunit ribosomal RNA
Source: RNAcentral
AUCACUCCUACGGGAGGCAGCAGUGGGGAAUAUUGCACAAUGGGCGCAAGCCUGAUGCAGCCAUGCCGCGUGUGUGAAGAAGGCCUUCGGGUUGUAAAGCACUUUCAGUGGGGAGGAAAGGUUGUUGGUUAAUACCUAACAGCUGUGACGUUACCUACAGAAGAAGCACCGGCUAACUCCGUGCCAGCAGCCGCGGUAAUACGGAGGGUGCGAGCGUUAAUCGGAAUUACUGGGCGUAAAGCGCAUGCAGGCGGCCUGUUAAGUCAGAUGUGAAAGCCCGGGGCUUAACCUCGGAAUUGCAUUUGAAACUGGCAGGCUAGAGUCUUGUAGAGGGGGGUAGAAUUUCAGGUGUAGCGGUGAAAUGCGUAGAGAUCUGAAGGAAUACCAGUGGCGAAGGCGGCCCCUGGACAAAGACUGACGCUCAGAUGCGAAAGCGUGGGGAGCAAACAGGAUUAGAUACCCUGGUAG